This 40-nucleotide small RNA is filed under the name Arabidopsis thaliana (thale cress). RNAcentral's name for it is "ATSL001880". Lineage: Eukaryota; Viridiplantae; Streptophyta; Magnoliopsida; Brassicales; Brassicaceae. The record is from RNAcentral.
AAAUAUAUUGUAUUAUAUCGUCCCGUAUUAAUAUAUUUUU